UGGACGAAAGUCUGACGGAGCAACGCCGCGUGAGUGAUGACGGCCUUCGGGUUGUAAAGCUCUGUUAAUCGGGACGAAAGGUCUUCUUGCGAAUAGUUAGAAGAAUUGACGGUACCGGAAUAGAAAGCCACGGCUAACUACGUGCCAGCAGCCGCGGUAAU
Molecule: ribosomal RNA, 161 nt
Filed under: uncultured Veillonella sp.
Lineage: Bacteria; Bacillati; Bacillota; Negativicutes; Veillonellales; Veillonellaceae
Description: partial 16S ribosomal RNA
Rfam family: Bacterial small subunit ribosomal RNA
Source: RNAcentral